AGUGAACGCUGGCGGUAGGCCUAACACAUGCAAGUCGAACGGCAGCACAGUAAGAGCUUGCUCUUACGGGUGGCGAGUGGCGGACGGGUGAGGAAUACAUCGGAAUCUACUUUUUCGUGGGGGAUAACGUAGGGAAACUUACGCUAAUACCGCAUACGACCUACGGGUGAAAGCAGGGGAUCUUCGGACCUUGCGCGAUUGAAUGAGCCGAUGUCGGAUUAGCUAGUUGGCGGGGUAAAGGCCCACCAAGGCGACGAUCCGUAGCUGGUCUGAGAGGAUGAUCAGCCACACUGGAACUGAGACACGGUCCAGACUCCUACGGGAGGCAGCAGUGGGGAAUAUUGGACAAUGGGCGAAAGCCUGAUCCAGCCAUACCGCGUGGGUGAAGAAGGCCUUCGGGUUGUAAAGCCCUUUUGCUGGGAAAGAAAAGCAGCAGGUUAAUACCCCGCUGUUCUGACGGUACCCAAAGAAUAAGCACCGGCUAACUUCGUG
RNAcentral lists this ribosomal RNA (492 nucleotides) under uncultured bacterium. RNAcentral's name for it is "partial 16S ribosomal RNA". It matches the Rfam family "Bacterial small subunit ribosomal RNA", at positions 29 to 507 of the family's 1533-position model. The record is from RNAcentral.